UACGUAGGGUGCAAGCGUUUGUCCGGAAUUAUUGGGCGUAAAGAGCUCGUAGGCGGUCUGUCACGUCGGCUGUGAAAACCCGGGGCUCAACCCCGGGCCUGCAGUCGAUACGGGCAGACUAGAGUGCGGUAGGGGAGACUGGAAUUCCUGGUGUAGCGGUGGAAUGCGCAGAUAUCAGGAAGAACACCCGUGGCGAAGGCAGGCUCUCUGGAACGCAACUGACGCUGAGACGCGAAAGCGUGGGGAGCAAACAGG
RNAcentral lists this ribosomal RNA (255 nucleotides) under uncultured bacterium. RNAcentral describes it as "partial 16S ribosomal RNA". It matches the Rfam family "Bacterial small subunit ribosomal RNA", at positions 524 to 776 of the family's 1533-position model. The record is from RNAcentral.